RNAcentral lists this ribosomal RNA (431 nucleotides) under uncultured bacterium. Its description in RNAcentral is "partial 16S ribosomal RNA". It matches the Rfam family "Bacterial small subunit ribosomal RNA", at positions 29 to 507 of the family's 1533-position model. The record is from RNAcentral.
AACGAACGCUGGCGGCAGGCUUAACACAUGCAAGUCGAGCGCCCCGCAAGGGGAGCGGCAGACGGGUGAGUAACGCGUGGGAACGUACCUUUUGGUUCGGAACAACUCCGGGAAACUGGAGCUAAUACCGGAUAAGCCCUAACGGGGAAAGAUUUAUCGCCGAAAGAUCGGCCCGCGUCUGAUUAGCUAGUUGGUGAGGUAACGGCUCACCAAGGCGACGAUCAGUAGCUGGUCUGAGAGGAUGAUCAGCCACACUGGGACUGAGACACGGCCCAGACUCCUACGGGAGGCAGCAGGGGGGAAUAUUGGACAAUGGGCGCAAGCCUGAUCCAGCCAUGCCGCGUGAGUGAUGAAGGCCUUAGGGUUGUAAAGCCCUUUUGUCCGGGAAGAUAAUGACUGUACCGGAAGAAUAAGCCCCGGCUAACUUCGUG